RNAcentral lists this ribosomal RNA (364 nucleotides) under uncultured eukaryote. RNAcentral's name for it is "partial 18S ribosomal RNA". It matches the Rfam family "Eukaryotic small subunit ribosomal RNA", at positions 592 to 976 of the family's 1831-position model. The record is from RNAcentral.
CAAAAGCGUAUAUUAAAGUUGUUGCAGUUAAAUAGCUCGUAGUUGAACCUUGGGCUUGGCUGGCCGGUCCAUCUUUUUUGAUGCGUACUGGACCCAGCCGAGCCUUUCCUUCUGGCUAGCCUUUUGGCGAACCAGGACUUUUACUUUGAAAAAAUUAGAGUGUUCAAAGCAGGCCUUUGCUCGAAUAUAUUAGCAUGGAAUAAUAGAAUAGGACGUUAUGGUUCUAUUUUGUUGGUUUCUAGGACCAUCGUAAUGAUUAAUAGGGACGGUCGGGGGUAUCAGUAUUCAGUUGUCAGAGGUGAAAUUCUUGGAUUUACUGAAGACUAACUACUGCGAAAGCAUUUACCAAGGACGUUUUCAUUAA